GACGGGACCGCACAAGCGGUGGAUGAUGUGGUUUAAUUCGAUGCAACGCGAAAACCUUACCCACCUUUGACAUGUACGGAAUCCUUUAGAGAUAGAGGAGUGCUCGAAAGAGAGCCGUAACACAGGUGCUGCAUGGCUGUCGUCAGCUCGUGUCGUGAGAUGUUGGGUUAAGUCCCGCAACGAGCGCAACCCUUGUCAUUAGUUGCUACAUUCAGUUGGGCACUCUAAUGAGACUGCCAGUGACAAACCGGAGGAAGGUGGGGAUGACGUCAAGUCCUCAUGGCCCUUAUAGGUGGGGCUACACACGUCAUACAAUGGAUGGUACAAAGGGUCGCCAACCCGCGAGGGGGAGCCAAUCCCAUAAAGCCAUUCGUAGUCCGGAUCGCAGUCUGCAACUCGACUGCGUGAAGUCGGAAUCGCUAGUAAUCGUGGAUCAGAAUGUCACGGUGAAUACGUUCCCGGGUCUU
This 467-nucleotide ribosomal RNA is filed under the name uncultured Acidovorax sp. RNAcentral describes it as "bacterial SSU rRNA". It matches the Rfam family "Bacterial small subunit ribosomal RNA", at positions 917 to 1381 of the family's 1533-position model. Lineage: Bacteria; Pseudomonadati; Pseudomonadota; Betaproteobacteria; Burkholderiales; Comamonadaceae. The record is from RNAcentral.